RNAcentral lists this ribosomal RNA (461 nucleotides) under uncultured bacterium. RNAcentral's name for it is "partial 16S ribosomal RNA". It matches the Rfam family "Bacterial small subunit ribosomal RNA", at positions 28 to 506 of the family's 1533-position model. The record is from RNAcentral.
GAUGAACGCUGACAGAAUGCUUAACACAUGCCAGUCUUUGGCGAAGCUGUGCUUGCACAGCCUAGCCAAGGCGGACGGGUGAGUAACGCGUAAGGAACUUGCCCUGCAGUCAGGGAUAACAGACGGAAACGACUGAUAAGACCUGGUAAAGUCAGGCGGACUCAUGUCCAGCCUGAUGAAAAGAGAUGCUGCAGGAGAGCCUUGCGUCCUAUUAGCUUGUUGGUGGGGUAACGGCCCACCAAGGCGAUGAUAGGUAGCCGGCCUGAGAGGGUGGACGGCCACAAGGGGACUGAGAUACGGCCCUUACUCCUACGGGAGGCAGCAGUGGGGAAUAUUAGACAAUGGGGGCAACCCUGAUCCAGCAAUUCUGUGUGCACGAUGAAGGUUUUCAGAUUGUAAAGUGCUUUCAGCAGGGAAGAAAAAAUGACGGUACCUGCAGAAGAAGCGACGGCUAAAUACGG